RNAcentral lists this transfer RNA (104 nucleotides) under Fusarium irregulare. RNAcentral describes it as "tRNA-Ala". It matches the Rfam family "tRNA". Rfam says of the family: Transfer RNA (tRNA) molecules are approximately 80 nucleotides in length. Their secondary structure includes four short double-helical elements and three loops (D, anti-codon, and T loops). Lineage: Eukaryota; Fungi; Ascomycota; Sordariomycetes; Hypocreales; Nectriaceae. RNAcentral also lists the same sequence under 1 other name. The record is from RNAcentral.
GGGCUUAUGGUCUAGGGGUAUGAUUUUCCCUUCGCAUCUUUAAUCUGACGAGUUCAGAGGAUCGAGCUUGGGAAAGGUCCGGGGUUCAAUUCCCCGUGAGUCCA